RNAcentral lists this ribosomal RNA (300 nucleotides) under Triticum aestivum (bread wheat). RNAcentral's name for it is "partial small subunit ribosomal RNA". Lineage: Eukaryota; Viridiplantae; Streptophyta; Magnoliopsida; Poales; Poaceae. The record is from RNAcentral.
AUGGAUUACACAAGCCAGGCAAUCAAUGAACUUAAGGAGAAGAAGCAUCAGCUUGAGGAGCAGGCAAAGAUUGAGGUUCAAAUGGAGAAGCUUAAGCUGAAGAAAGAACAGAGGUGCAUCCUGCAGAGUCAAGCUGAUAUCAUUCAAAAUACCAGGAAGGCCAUGAAGGAGAUACAAGUGGAGAGAGACCUCCUUAAAGAAGAGAAGAAGCUGGAGCAUGUCAUUUCUGAGCUACUGAAGGCUGGUCAUGGGUGCAAGGAAAAGCUGGAUAAGAUCAAAGAAGUUGUCAUGGAGGAGUGA